ACGCUGGCGGCAGGCCUAACACAUGCAAGUCGAGCGGUAGAGAGAAGCUUGCCUCUCUUGAGAGCGGCGGACGGGUGAGUAAUGCCUAGGAAUCUGCCUGGUAGUGGGGGAUAACGUUCGGAAACGGACGCUAAUACCGCAUACGUCCUACGGGAGAAAGCAGGGGACCUUCGGGCCUUGCGCUAUCAGAUGAGCCUAGGUCGGAUUAGCUAGUUGGUGGGGUAAUGGCUCACCAAGGCGACGAUCCGUAACUGGUCUGAGAGGAUGAUCAGUCACACUGGAACUGAGACACGGUCCAGACUCCUACGGGAGGCAGCAGUGGGGAAUAUUGGACAAUGGGCGAAAGCCUGAUCCAGCCAUGCCGCGUGUGUGAAGAAGGUCUUCGGAUUGUAAAGCACUUUAAGUUGGGAGGAAGGGCAGUAAAUUAAUACUUUGCUGUUUUGACGUUACCGACAGAAUAAGCACCGGCUAACUCUGUGCCAGCAGCCGCGGUAAUACAGAGGGUGCAAGCGUUAAUCGGAAUUACUGGGCGUAAAGCGCGCGUAGGUGGUUCGUUAAGUUGGAUGUGAAAUCCCCGGGCUCAACCUGGGAACUGCAUUCAAAACUGACGAGCUAGAGUAUGGUAGAGGGUGGUGGAAUUUCCUGUGUAGCGGUGAAAUGCGUAGAUAUAGGAAGGAACACCAGUGGCGAAGGCGACCACCUGGACUGAUACUGACACUGAGGUGCGAAAGCGUGGGGAGCAAAC
RNAcentral lists this ribosomal RNA (745 nucleotides) under uncultured bacterium. Its description in RNAcentral is "bacterial SSU rRNA". It matches the Rfam family "Bacterial small subunit ribosomal RNA", at positions 33 to 773 of the family's 1533-position model. The record is from RNAcentral.